CACCACUGUCCAGCACGACUUAAAAAAAGGCUCUGGGGGCCUUCAAAAGAGACAGAAAAAAGUCAUUUCAGAAAUGUUUAUAACCCAUCUUCGAAAAAACAGAGGGGUCCCAAACAACAAAUAACGUUCCGGACAAACCCAAGAAGAAUAAAAACAUACAGUCAAAAGGGUUAAAGCCCCAAAAAGAUCUAAUUAGAGACACAUCAGGAGUUGUCAACUUGGUCUCUGUAAGGAGUAAAAGAUGGGGCUUAAACACAGAAACCACCUGCCUAAGAAAUCUCCUCCUCCUCCUAUCCCCGAAGCCCCUGAUAUUCCAUUAUAUGGGCCUCGUUUAGAAUGGAAGUCAGUCUCCUUCCAGGUGAUACCUGAUGGACCUGCAGAAAGGGGGUCAAAGGGGAGCUCGACUGUCAUCAUCUCCAUCUAAGCAGCGAAUUUUUCAUCUUCUCUUUCUCGGGAUGCCUACAGCUUGGCCUUCUUGAUCUUUUAUAGCCUCCACUACCUUGAUAGAACCUUCGAAGACACCUUCAUAGCCUUGAUCAUUCCCCAACAUGGUCAUAUUGAAAAAGGUUCUAAUAACUUAUGUUGGAAGGGUUUGUCUCCUGUCUUGUUCUCCUAACUAAGAACCUUUUUCCCCAUCUCUACACCUCUGCCUGUUUUCCCCCUGCUCCAAUUUGAGGACCUUGGAGAAAGCUCAUCAGAUGUGGAACCUGACGUUUAAGUAACCAGGAUAGGGUGAAUAUUAGGGCAUCUGGCCACAAUGAGAGAUUUUGGAAUAUGAUUAGGUUGCGCAGCCAUCUUGGGUGGGACAAUGGAAAUAUUGCCCCAUGCCAAAUCUCUUUGCAGCAGUGAAUAGGACAGCUUCACAGCCCCACCGAUAGAAGCAAGGCUAGUAGGAUCGUUGAUAAUGAGGGACACUCCAGAAGGUUCAACAAAUAGUGAUGCGCAUAGAGGGCACGACAGAAAUUGGAUUCUUACCAGAACAGGAAUUGGCCUUAAUAGCAAGGAAAAGGAAGAAACUUUGACAGAAGGAAUGGGCUUCAAAAGGAUGACGGAUCCUCCAAACCCCCACUUCUAUAUAAAGAAGGUUCGCAUAUGCCCGCGUAAUAAAUGAAAUUAAAGGCAAAGGGUUGGAUGGAAGAGAUGUAACCUGGAAACAACCAUCCUAGAUGGAUGGGAUGUGGAAGGAUUUGACCUGGUUUGCCACUUUGUAAGAAAUGAUAAUCUUCACGCCAUCAGAUGUGUCACAUGCCACCUCAUCCUACCUAUUGCAAAAUUAGAGAGAGGGCAUCGUUACCGUGUGACCCUUCCUGUCUUCCUGAAGGUGUGUAUGUAGGUUGCACCUUCUCAGUACAAGAAAACUGAAUGCACCCACCUUUCUCCUCUUUCAUCUCCACAUCACCAUUAUUUAACGUCAAAACAGUAGGAUUUGUACUAAAUGAUAGUCUCCAUUGGAUCAUUGGGAGAUUUAGGCGAGCUUUUGAAAUUUAAAUUUAAACAAGAACCAGAGCUAGAAGUCUGGUUACUAUUGGGGGUUUUGAAGAGGAGGAACCAUUGUUCCUUCUUUCUCCAAACCAUCAUAUUAGGCUACAUUUUUCGUUUGUUAGAAUAGGAAUGGCUGUACCAGCAAGGAGACCCAUUCUCUCUCUUUCUGGAAAUCUCAAUCCAUGGUUGGUGGUUUGGAGUUGUAAGCUCAGCCACCUCCUUCCGCGAGUUGUAGCUAUGAAAACUACCAAAAGAAGGUACAAAGGAAGCCAAACUGCCCCUGUUAAAUACACUAACCUCUUUUGUAAUAUGCACCUUGAAAUAAUCUCCACCUACCUUAGGAACAAGUGAAUCACGAAUGACAUUAUCUGAUGCAUAACUUUAAUGCGCAAAGUGCCCUAGGCAUGUCCAAAGGAAGCGUGCCAAUCAACCUCUAAUAACCUUCCACAAUCACCUGCUAGAACCUUAAAUACUUUCUUUGUCCAUGCAUUGAUGGGGAUGCCUUCAAUCCUAGUUAGUAUUUGAGGCAACUGAAUAUACGAAUGAGAAGCUUUAGGGGUAUCACUCUAGAGACAUUAAAUACCCAUUGAGCCUCAAGAAUCUAUGCUUGAAGAUUCAUUAAGCAUCUUCAGCCUCAAUAAAAAUAAGCAAAGCUCUAUUAUUAGGAAUAGUCAUGCA
Molecule: long non-coding RNA, 2160 nt
Filed under: Amborella trichopoda
Lineage: Eukaryota; Viridiplantae; Streptophyta; Magnoliopsida; Amborellales; Amborellaceae
Description: long non-coding RNA (ATRI_LNC002408)
Source: RNAcentral